Molecule: long non-coding RNA, 36277 nt
Filed under: Nicotiana benthamiana
Lineage: Eukaryota; Viridiplantae; Streptophyta; Magnoliopsida; Solanales; Solanaceae
Description: long non-coding RNA (NBEN_LNC027276)
Source: RNAcentral
AGAUUCCCUGUACGUAUUUAUGAUUUGAGCUGAAGCACGAGAUACCAAGAGAUUCCUGGCAUAUAUUGAGGAUACCAUGAGAUCCUCGGGAUACCAAAAGAUCCCUGAUACAUAUUGAGGAUACCAAGAGAUCCCUAGUACAUAUUGAGGAUACCAAGAUAUCCUUGGGAUACCAAGAGAUCCCUGCUAUAUAUUGAGGAUACCAAGAGAUCCAAGGAUAUAGAGAUCCAUGGAUAUUUAUCUUUAUAAAAAGUGAUUGUUUUUGUGAUUGUUUUGUCUCUGUUUUCAGUUAUUGUUGUUAUCCUUACAAUCCUGUUUUAGUUCUCACUGUUCUCUUUGAACUGUAUUGUUUUACCUUAUAAUAUUAUACCUUACAUUUAAUUUAAUCUCAAUAGGGCUCUGACCUUCCUCGUCACUACUCGACCGACGUUAGGCUUGGAACUUACUGAGUACCGCUGUGGUGUACUCGUGCACUUUUUGCAUAUAUUUUUCAUGCGCAGAUAUAGGUACCUCUACUCAGACUUAUCACUCAUUAGGCGAGGCACUAUAGAGACUCCGAGGUAUAUCUGUUGCGUCCGUAGACCGCAGAAUCCCUUUCUACUCUUCAUUUUGUAUUAGCCUUUCUGUACUUCUAUUUUUUUGUUAGAUAUUCUGGAGUUGGACACUUGUAGACAGUCAAUGUCUUGUAAUCAUGAGUUUCCGAGUUUUGAAAAAUGCUUAGUUUUUUGGGAGCUAUUAUUGUGUAUGCCGAGCGGCACUUUUAAACACUUCUUUACUUCAUUAUUUUUUGCUUUUGAUUAUUUCUUCUACAAGUUUUGGUUAUUUUUCCGCAUUUUUAGACUUACCUAGUCGUAUAGACUAGGUGCCGUCACGAUGAUUCACGGAGGACGAACGGGGGUCGUGACGCCGGGGGAGUAAUACAAUAAUCAUAUAGCCCCCUCCCUCUUACCUCUAAAUGGAUGAAGUUUGACAUAAAUAUGAUAUCUCAAAUGGGAUCUUUUCUACAAUUUUGCACCAUCGACUCCAAGUGGCCAUGUUUCACUACCACAUUUAUUGCUCUUUUGAAAUAUAGUGGUGGUUGAUGGUGAUGACUUAUAUUGAUGGUAAUGCGACAGAGGCAGAUGGUAGAGAAGCUUCGUAGUGGUGGGUUGGUGACUAGUGGUCGAGGUGGUUGAUGGUUGUGUGGUAUAGGCUAAUGACAGAGGUGAUUGGUGAUAAGCUAGUUGAUGAUGAUAGAUAUGUCGUAACGAUUGACUAUGGUAUUGUUAGCUGUUGUAAAAAAUAGUACAACGAUAAAAUGUUGCAUUUAUAGGAAUCUUUAUAUUUAAAUGAAUGUUUUAGCAAUAUUAAAACUAUGUAUAAAAUCGAAAUAAUUUAGACUAAUAAGUGAUUGAGAAAAUAAAUAAACUAAUGCGCUUAAUAGUUUGAGAUCUAAAUAAGUCAUAUUGAGACUCCAUGAAAUACAAAUAAAUAUAGACUUAAAUGGAUCAAAUUUUGGAGCCCAAGAGUAAAAUCUCUUGCACUUUAUGUCUACUAAUUAAUUAUAUUUUACCUGGUCGUGGGGCUCCCUAACUUGAAACUAAGGGUGUUAAACGGCUGGGUAAACCCAUUCUCAGACCGAUACAUAGGGAGCUGGGUGGGCUGGGUUAUUGGGUAAAGGGGGUUGGUCCGUUCACAUUUGUUCAACCAGUUAACUAGAUCAGUCAAAUUCGGUUAACUUAAAUCACUAUAGAACUGGUUAACCGGCCCGGACCGGACCGGUCCCGACUGAUUCAACGGCUAGUCUUUCAAAUUUUUAUUUUUUUUAAAAUGUUCUGACCAUCGGCAACGGUCAGCUGGGCCAACGGGUCAUUUCCAACGGGUGUUUUGCACAAAUAGACCUUUUUGGGACUUUUUUUAAAAUUAAUACUUUUUAUAAUUACUAAUUUAGCCCUUCAAAACAUUAUAAAUACCCUCCCCCUCCCCCAUCUUCAUUUCUUCACUCAUCUCUGUUUUCUAAAACUCAUAUUCUCAAUUAUCAUUCUCCCAUUCUUCAUAUAAAGUGCAAUCAUGUAUUCGGCUAUCUUUUUUUUGAAUUUAAUUUAUCGUAUUAUUUAUUCUUUGAAGUUUGAACAGUUGACGUUUCUUCAUAGUAAUACUGGAGUUGCGAAAUCAUCAAGUGCAUAAUUUAUUGCCGAAUUUGGCGCACACCUUACAACUCUUUUUCUUAUUUACUACUAUUUUAUUUGCAUAUUUAAUUUUUACUAGUAGUUAAAUUUUCACAAUAUGUUUAAUGCUGCAAAAAAAUUCGUAAUAAGAUUACUGAUCGGAAAAAUAGAAAAAGAGGUACUAUUUCAUCAUCUAGUAGUAAUUUGAAUGACUCUACACAUAUUUAUAAACUAUUACCUGAUAAUAAUAUACAACAACAACAAUAAUAAUAAAAACAAUGACGACGAUGAUCCAGUGAAAUCCUAUUAGUAGAAUCUAGGAUGGUAGUGUGUACACAGACCUUACCCCUACCCCGGAGGAAUAGAGAGGUUGUUUCCGAAAGACUAUCGGCUCAAGAGGACAAAAAGACAAAAGGAGACAAAAUCAGUAACUCCACAGAAAUAAUAGAAAAUAGGAAUAAUAUGGAAAAUAGGAACAACAUGAAAUCCAAAAGAAAGAUAUAAAGCAAAAGCGAAAUAGUAUCCCUACAAAACUAAUCCCACAAAGUUAUGACAUAAGGUAAUACUCAACUACCUCCUAACCUACCACCUUAAUAUUCGACCUCCACUUGUAUAUACAAUAUACAAGUGUAAAGAUACUACAUGUAGAAUAUAUCUGAUAGUGUAAAAAAUUUAUUAUGUUUAAUUAUUGUGUCAGUGAACUAUAAAAAUCUCUAUACUUCUCUCCUUCAAUUCGGCUCUUUAUUUUCUGAUUCUCCGACAUCGUCUUCAACGGUCACUUAUGCCGGUGACCUGAUAAUAACAUAAAUUAUGAACAAUUACAAGAAUAUUUCGGUAUAGAAGAUAAUGAAUUAGAAAUCGAAGAUGAGACACCACUUACACCUAGUAGUGUUGGAGUUGGUAGCAGGGGUGGUGGUCGUGGUGCUAGUAGUAGACCACCUGUGGCCCUGACUACUAUUCGAAUAAAAACAAGUAAGGUUUAAAUUUUUUUUGACGAAAUAGUAGGUACUGAUAAAGUUAAAUGCAGACAUUGUAAUGAUGAUUUUAAGCAUAUGACUGGAGGACAAUUAGGGAGACUGUGACACUUAGUAGACAUAUGAGAAUUGAGCAUCUUAUAGAAUAGUGCUCUGAUGGAUUUGGAAAUCAAGCAACUCUAAAUCCUAUGACUGGAGGACUAUGAAAUAUGAUAAAAUGAAGGAUCGUCUGGAGUUAGCAAAAAGAAUUGCUUUGGGUUGUCUACCUUUUUGCUUCUUUAUCAUAUCUUAUUAUGUAUAUUCAAUUAAUUUAUAAUCAUUUAUUAAAAGGUAUCCCUAGAAUACUUGUAAAUCUUAUUCCUUUAGACUUCGUGAAAAAUUUCAAACAUAUAUACGUUAUUUGUUUAGCCGCCUUCCUUGUAGAGUUUCUCUAACUUCUGAUAUAUAUUGGUCAUGCUGUUAAUGAAAAUGAUUAUUUAAAAAUUACAUGUCAUUAGAUAGAUGAUAAUUAUUAUAUGCAAAAAUUUAUUAUCACUUUUAAUUAUGUUGAAAAUCAGAGUCAUACUGUUGUGUUUAUAAGUACUACUAUUUUCAAAGUUGUUAAUUUAAUCUUAAGAAAAAGGUAUUAUGUAUGUAUUUUGAUAAUGCAUCUAACAAUAAUGCCGCAAUUUCAAUAUUAAAACUGCAUUUGCAACCACUACUUGACAAAAUUUCUCAUGUUAGGUGUGCAUGUCAUGUUUAUAAUUUAAUUGUUAAAAAUGGCCUUGAUUUAUUUCAACUGAGAUUACUCAUGUUAGAAGAGCAGUUGAAGUUAUUCAAGGAAAUAAUCGACAAUCUAGAAUUAUAGAAUUUAAGAAUAAGUGUACCGAGCAUAACCUUAAGCCCAGAUUCAUGUCAUACGAAAUUAUUACUAGAUGGAAUUAUACAUUAUUUAGAAUGUUGGUACAAAUAUAGAUUCCCAAUAACUAAAGUUGCUAAUACACAUUGUACUGAUCCAAACCAUAUGUUAACAACUACUAUUUGGGAGGUUGAUGUUGUUAAAUUUUUACAUAAAUUUUAUAUAAAUACUGUUGAGUUUUUUGGAACAUGUUACCCUACAAUUACUAUGGCUUUAGUAUAUAUAGCUGAAAUUUCUUUUCUACUUCUAAAUUUAAGAAGAAAGAAAACAUAUAAGGAUGUUGUUGAAAAAUACAAGAAAAAUUUAAAAAAUAUUUCUUUUCAAUUCCUCUGAUUUACUUAAUUGGCUCUGUUUUAAAUCAUUCUAUUAAGAUUUCAUAUUGUCACCAAUUAAUCAAUAACUUAUAUACUUAUAUGGAGAUCGGACCAACUGAGACACACACACACACACACACACACAUAUAUAUAUAUAUAUGUAUAUAUAUGUAUAUGUAUAUAUAUAUAUAUAUAUGUAUAUAUAUAUAUAUAUAUACAUAUAUAUGUAUAUAUAUAUAUAUGUAUAUAUAUAUAUAUAUNNNNNNNNNNNNNNNNNNNNNNNNNNNNNNNNNNNNNNNNNNNNNNNNNNNNNNNNNNNNNNNNNNNNNNNNNNNNNNNNNNNNNNNNNNNNNNNNNNNNNNNNNNNNNNNNNNNNNNNNNNNNNNNNNNNNNNNNNNNNNNNNNNNNNNNNNNNNNNNNNNNNNNNNNNNNNNNNNNNNNNNNNNNNNNNNNNNNNNNNNNNNNNNNNNNNNNNNNNNNNNNNNNNNNNNNNNNNNNNNNNNNNNNNNNNNNNNNNNNNNNNNNNNNNNNNNNNNNNNNNNNNNNNNNNNNNNNNNNNNNNNNNNNNNNNNNNNNNNNNNNNNNNNNNNNNNNNNNNNNNNNNNNNNNNNNNNNNNNNNNNNNNNNNNNNNNNNNNNNNNNNNNNNNNNNNNNNNNNNNNNNNNNNNNNNNNNNNNNNNNNNNNNNNNNNNNNNNNNNNNNNNNNNNNNNNNNNNNNNNNNNNNNNNNNNNNNNNNNNNNNNNNNNNNNNNNNNNNNNNNNNNNNNNNNNNNNNNNNNNNNNNNNNNNNNNNNNNNNNNNNNNNNNNNNNNNNNNNNNNNNNNNNNNNNNNNNNNNNNNNNNNNNNNNNNNNNNNNNNNNNNNNNNNNNNNNNNNNNNNNNNNNNNNNNNNNNNNNNNNNNNNNNNNNNNNNNNNNNNNNNNNNNNNNNNNNNNNNNNNNNNNNNNNNNNNNNNNNNNNNNNNNNNNNNNNNNNNNNNNNNNNNNNNNNNNNNNNNNNNNNNNNNNNNNNNNNNNNNNNNNNNNNNNNNNNNNNNNNNNNNNNNNNNNNNNNGAGGGGGGAGGUGGGAGGAAGGGGGGAGGUAAUUUGUGUGGUGACCAAUUUUUUGCUUAAACUGAUUAUAGAAGGACCUGGUUCUUCUAUGCAUUCCAACUGCUACAGUUGCAGAAUAAUAAAUGUAGAAAGUAAAGAACACAAGUAUUUUUACGUGAAAAUGCCCGGCUCAAAAGGUGAAAAAAUCACGACCUAUUACUCAAUUGGAUUUUCCCAACACAUCACUAAAUCACUAAGCCAAAACAGCAUUUACAAAACUAAGGAUUACCUCUAAUCCUGUCAUAGAAACCAGCCUCUAACUGUUGCGACAACUUCAAGUUAACUCUAACUUGAAUACUUAAAGUACCUAUUACAAUUGCUUCUAGAUAAGGCUGAAAAGUACAACAUGAAAAUACUUACUACAAUUGAACUAGAAAUAAAGAAAGACACAUAAAACUCUUUAUGGAUUUGGUUCUUCAAUCUGGUUCAUGUAGCUUCAGGUUUACGCACUUGAAUCACACACGAACUGCUUGCAAAAGGCCUUGCUAUUUUGCUCUCAAUUCAUGUUUAACUUCUGUGUUUUUGUGCCGCCUGUGAUGUGAGAACAUCCUGCAACUUAUAGAGUUAGUAGAUGAAGAAAUAACUAGAAUUCUGAUGCAACUCAUCCUUGGUGGAAGAGUUCAGUUGAUUUCAACUUAUAACUCCUUCCCUAUGGUGGAUAUUGUUCUCUUUGAUUAAAGACUCCUUCUCCUUAUCAAUUAUGCAACUUUUUCAAUUAGGAGAUAUUAAAUACACCAAGUUAAGUUUAUCUCCUUCAAGUGCAUCCCACAUGCUUGAAUCUGCCCAGUUCAUGCCUAAGUUCCUUUGUCAGUCUUCAAAACUAACAUUUACUUGGGCCAACAAAUUCUCCCUUUUUGAUGAUUACAAACUCGGUGGAUUUCAUACACUUAUGCCAUGUCAGAGCUCAGCUCUACAUUAAUGCAAAAUUAGAAAUUUUUCACAUAUCAUCAAGGACCAGGUACAUUAAGUUAUAAACAUCAAUAUUUAAAGUGUAAAUAUCACCUGUUUAAAGCACAAUCUUUUUUCCCCUUUUGACAUCAUCGCAAAUUCACAUAAAAAUGUGAGAUAGCCAGAUUUUAAAGCUAACUCAUGGCCAUUGGGCUACUUCAAAUGCAAUCAUGGAUUAAUCUUCAUAGAUCAAGCUAAGAAUUUUUAGCCAUCAAAGAAAUAUAAACAAACAGUUAGAGCAAAAGAUAGUGAAUUUCAUUGAUGAUCGAUAAGAUUCUACCAUAGAGCAUACGAAAAAAUAAAAAUACUAAAAAUAUGAGCAAAAGAAACAAAAAGUCCCGAACUGGGUCACUAGUUGAUCUACACUAGGCUAGAAGGCUUAAGGCUGGGAAGAACUAGGUGCUUGGUUUUUGACUUGUAGGAGUUUGAGCAUACCUUGAAGAAUGCCAUCAUUCUUCUCCUUUUCUCUUGCUAGCUCAGUUCUAAGAGCAUCUCUCUUAGUCUCCACCUCAACUAACAUUUUCUUCAGCCUUUCAAUCUCAGCAUCUUAGACUUACUUUCUUGCACCAAGGCUCUGACCUUGCUAUUCACUAGUAUCUUUUUGGAUGAACUAGGUCUUUAGGAGUGACAUUGACUUCAAAAUCGCAAGCAAGCAGAGUAUUAACCAAAAAUUAUCCACGCUUGUACUAACCUCCUACUUUUUCAUAAGUACAUUGAAAUAAGCAAGCGCAGUUGUGAGAAUGAAACCAUAGGGAAUGGUAUGAGUUUACUACCAUUAAUAACUCUAUCAAGAAGCUGGAUUUUAGCUUUCAGUCAUUUUCUUCUGCAAGUCUGCGAGGGUUUUCUCUACAGAUGAACCAGGUUCAUCUCCCUAAACAACCAUUGCAUAUAUGUCUUUGGUUAAACUCAUAUGAGUGGGUGAAGAAUCAGCCACUCUUGUCCACUUUCCCCUCACAGUACUCCUAGCACUCUUGCUCUCCUUUUUUUCUUUUUCAUUUAUACCACCAACUUCUCCAGAUUCUGUAUUCUCAACACCUGCAAUAGAUCCUACAAAUCUAUUUUCCAAAUUUGCAGCAACUUUAGAAAUUUUCUCAGGAGAAACUUUAGAAUUAGAAGGUACCUGUUCAAUUUUGUAAGAACCACUUUCUUCCCCCUGAGUAACAGACUUAAAAGUAUCUAGGUAGUUUAAUACAGUCAGGAGUCCUGAACGUAAAUAGUUCACUUGUAACGGAUACGUUCACAAGAACUUUGAAAUUUGGUAGGACUCUACUCAUGAUCCAAAUAUAGUUAUUUCUAAUUAUGCAGAGUGUAGAAAACAUAUCGUGUUAUCUUGAUGAACCAGGUUCUUCACUGAUAAGUCUCUUGAGUAAGUCUAAAUUUACCAAAAUAGAGAAAAUAUCAUUAGAGAUUAGUGAGUCAUUUUAACACGUGUCACAAGAGUAUACUAUAGAAAGUAUGAGGCUAGGAAAGAUAUAAUCUAAUUAUAUACAAUUUACAAACUUUCUAACCAAAUUUUUUUUUCAAUUUUUUCGUUUAACCUUGAACUGGUCCUUUUAGGCGAUCAUAAUCAUCCUAAUUCCAACAUGUGAAGAUGUUAGCAAUUUGCUUGUCAGUAGCACAAAACUCCACAGUGAUCAAGCCUUUCUCAUAGUUGAACCUUUUGUGAAGAUGUCAGCAAUUUACUUGUCAGACGCACAAAACUCCACACUGGUCAAGCCCUUUUAAUAGUUGUCCCUCAAAAAAUGGUGUCUAAAAUCUAUGUGCUUAGUUCUCUUAUGAUGAACCAGAUUCUUAGUCAUACUAAUAGCAAUAGUGUUAUCACAUAAAAUAGGAAUGCAACCAACUUCGAUACCAAAAUCCACCGACUAUUGUUUGAUCCAUAACAAUUGAGCACAAUCAUGAAGUAGAAGCAACAUACUCAGCUUCGGUAGUAGAUAAAGCCACUGAAUUUUACUUUUUAUUGGCCUAUGAUACAAGACAUGAACUAAGAAAAUGAGCCAUACUUGAGGUGAUCUUCCUUUCCACAAAAAAACCUGCAUAAUCAGCAUCAGCAUACCCUACUAGAUUGAAAUUACUACCUUUAGGGUAUCAAAGACACAGAUCAAUAGUGCUUUUAAAAUAUCUCAGUAUUCUCUUGAUAGCAGUUAAGUGAGAUUCCUUUGGAUUAGCCCGAAAAUGUGCACAAAGCCUUAUGCUAAAAACUAUGUCAGGUCUGCAUAAUCAGCAUCAGCAUACCCUACUAGAUUGAAAUUACUACCUUUAGGGUAUCAAAGACACAAAUCAAUAGUGCUUUUAAAAUAUCUCAGUAUUCUCUUGAUAGCAGUUAAGUGAGAUUCCUUUGGAUUAGCCCGAAAAUGAGCACAAAGCCCUAUGCUAAAAACUAUGUCAGGUCUGCUGGCAGUAAGAUACAAAAGUGAACCAAUCAUACCCCUAUACAACUUCUGAUCAACAGAUGAACUAGGUUCAUCUAUAUCUAAUUUAGUGAUCGUUGCAAUGGGAGUUUUUAUUUCCUUUGAUUCAUCCAUUUUAAAUAUUUUGAUCAAUUCUUUUUCAUAUUUCUGCUAAUAGAUCAUGGUUCCAUUAGGGUUUUGUUUGAUCGGUAAGCCUAAGAAAAAGUUAAUCUCACCCGAUAUACUCAUUUAAAACUCACUCCCCAUUAAUUUGGCUAAGUCCUUACUUAGUUUGUCAAUGGUUGCCCCAAAAAUUAUGUCAUACAUAUAUUUGUACCACAAGAUAAUCCUUAGCUUUAUCCCUCAAGAAUAGAGUACUGUCAAUUUUGCCUCUUUUGUAGCCAUGCUCAAGCAGGAAUUUAGAUAAUCGUUCAUACCAUGCUCUAGGAGCCUGCUUAACUCCAUAGAGAGCGUUGUCUAAUUCGUACACAUGUUUAGGACUUUCCUUACUUCAAACCCUGGAGGUUUCUAACAAAUACUUCUUCUUUUAGAUAGCCAUUCAAGAAGGCACUUGCGACAUCCAUCUGAUGAAAAGUGAAUUCCAUGUGUGCUGCAAAGGCUAUAAGGAGUCUUAUUGCCUCCAGUCUUGCCACUGGACCAAAGGUCUCAUCAUAAUCUAUACCGACUUCUUGGAUAUAACCUUGGACCACCAGUCUUGCCUUGUUUCUGUAACUGUUCCAUCUUCAUCAAGCUUGUCUCUGAAGACCCAUUUUGUGACAAUUACAGAUCUGUCCUUGGGUCUAGGAACUAGAUGCCAAUCUUGACUUCUAUCAAACUGAUUGAGUUCAUCUUGCAUUGUAUUUACCCAAUCUGCAUCCUGCAAAGCUUCAAUAACAUUUUUAGAUUCAAUAAGAGAUAUAAAAGCAUCAAAAGUACACAUAUUCUUUAAUUGUGAUCUAAUUUUAAAUACAGAGGUUGGAUUAUUAGUUAUGUUCUCAGCGAGAUAAGAACCUUGAUACUUGUGAGGUUUCACAACCAACGGAUUUCUACUUGAUGUUUCUCCCAUGUUUUGUUGUUGAGGAAUAGGAUCAUGAACAAAUUCCUUUAAGGAAUUGGUUUCAGUUUCUCUUUGAUUAGUUCCCCUUGUCAGGUUGCCCUUAAUAGAAGAACCUGUUCCAUCACCCAUUCCUUCUUUUGGUGCCACUUUGGCUUGAUCUAAGACUUCACUCUUUUACUAGCCCAAUGGAUUCAUCUUCAUGUUACUGUCUCUCAAAAAGAAUGUUAGUUUCAUCAAACACUACAUGUACACUUUCUUCUACACACAAAGUUCUUUUAUUGGACACUUUAUAUGCUUUGCUAUGUGAAGAAUACUCCCUCAUCACUUCUGCAAUCCAACUUACCUAGGGAUUCCUUUUCAUUAUUGUGCACAAAGCACUUGCAUCCAAAUGCCCUAAGAUGGGAUAUAUUUAGCUUUCUCCCUUUAAGUAACUCAUAGGGAGUCUUCUCUACAAGAGGUCUAGUCAUACAUCUAUUUAAGAUAUAAUAUGCAGGGUUUACAGCUCUGCCCAGAAGCUAUGGGAUAAUUUACUAGAAAGAAGCAUAGUCCUAGCCAUAUCUUCAAGAGUCAUGUUCUUUCUUUUAACUACUCAAUUUUGUUGAGGAGUCUUAGGGGCGGAGAAGUUAUAAUCUAUACCAUGCUCAUCAUAAAAUUCAGAAAACUUAGCAUUUUCAAAUUCAAUUCCAUAAUCAGACCUGAUCGAUGCAACUUGAUUACCUAGUUGUUUCUGAGUUUUUCUAACAAAGGCAGUAAACAUAUCAAAUGCUUCAUCCUUAGAUGUUAAGAAUAGUACCCAGGUAAACCUACAAUAAUCAUCAACAAGUACCAUCACAUAUUUAUUACUACCUCUGCUCAAUGUUCUCAUUGGACCACAGAGAUCCAUAUGAACCAGUUCCAACGUCCUGGUCGUGUUUAAAAAUUUCUUGCUUUUAAAGGAUGAUCUUCUGCUUCCCCUUGCACAGGCCUCACAAACUUUAUCUUCCUUGAACUUCAUAUUAGUUAACCUUAUCACCAAGUCCUUGGAGAUUAAUUUGUUGAGUUGAUUCAGACUUGCAUAACCAAGUCUUUUGUGCCAUAGGAGGGGAUUAUUUUCCAACACACUCAAGCAAGUGAGUUCAUUUUUUGAAAGAGUUGAAAAAUCUACAAUGUAAAUAUUGUUAACUCUUUUUCCCUGCAAAACAACCUUGUCAGUGAUAAGGUUAAUCACAAAACAUCACACUUAAGCAAGUGAAUUCAUUUUCUGAAAGAGCGGAAAAAUCUACAAUAUAAAUAUUGUUAACUUUUUUCCCUGCAAAACAAAUUUGUCAGUGGUAAGGUUAAUCACAAAGUAUUUGGUAGAGGUAAAUGCUACAAGGUUACCUCUGUCACACAGUUGUGAUACACUAAUUAGGCUAUAUUUCAACCUAUCUAUCAAGUAGACAUUCUCAAUGGAGUGUGGGUCUGUCUUACCUACCUUUCCAACCCCAAUAAUCUCACAUUUCUUCCCAUUUCCAAAGGAUACAUUACCUCCUUUUACGUUCUCAAGUGAAAGGAACUGGUUCUUGUUUCCAAUCAUACGUUUUGAGCAGCCAUUAUCCAUGUACAAUAUUCGGCUACUUCCCUUCACUUGGACCUCUUGUUCAUCAUCUGAUUCUCCGAUGGCCAUAAGUGCUUGUCCAUCUCCAACUUUAUCUUCUGAGUCCUCAUAUGAUAUUUCUCCCCAAGCAGCAACCAUAGCCUUUCUUGAUCCUUUGUUCCUUUUGGGUUGAACUUGUUCCUUCUUCCUGUUCCUUUGUUCAGCCUUUUACUUCUUCCAUUUAAUUUCCCACUUAGGACAGUUCUUGAUCAUGUGACCAGUCUUGCCACAUUUGUAACAACCCUCAUUGGUAUGUUUCUCAGGAGCCCUUGGUUUGUUGAAAGUUUUACCUCUUGAAGAACCAUUUCCUCUUAUUAGGUACUUUUUGAAAUACCUUGUGAUCAUGGAAAUUUAAUCAUCUUCCAGCUCUGCACCUUCAGCUAUUCUGAGAGCCAGACUCCUCUCCUUCUUGGGUGCAUCCAUUUUCAUGGUUUGCCUUCUUAGUUCAUAAGCAGUGCGGUUUCCAAUCAGUUCAUCCAACUUGAGAGUAGCAAUGUUCUUUGAUUCCUGAAUAGCAGUGGUUUUGCUUUCCCAAGUCACUAUUAAGACCCUUGUCAAGAUUUUCUCAACCUUGUUUUCUUCAAAGAAAAUUCUCCCAAGAGAUUUAAGUUCAUUUGUUAGUGUUGUGAACCUUUUGUACAUCGCUUGGAUAGUCUCUCCUUCCUUUAUAGUGAAAUUCUCAUAUUGAGAAUAUAGCAGUGUUCCUCUUGAUCUAUUUACUUGAGGAGUUCCUUCAUGAGACACUUGUAGAAUGUUCCAUAUUUCCUUAGCAGUGGUAUAGCUUUGAAUCCUAUUGUACUCAUUUGGACCCAGUCCACACACAAGUUAUUUCUUGGCUUUGGCAUUCUUCUCCUAUUUCUUCAAGUCUUCAUCAGUGAAGUCAACUCUUGUCUUGGGCACAUCCAAUCCUUUAGCAUUCUUCUUUGUAGUCGCCAGGGGACCAUCAGUUUCUAUGUCCCGGAGUUCAUAGUCUUCUCCUAUGAUAUGAUCUCUCAUAAUGUUCUUCCACCAAGAAUAGUACCGACCAUUAAAGAGUGGAGGCCUAGUAGUGGAUUGCCCUUCCUAGUUUUCAGGUGGUGCACUCAUCUUGAUCUUUACCUAAGGUAUUAAGCUCUUCAAGGAUAACCUGCUCUAAUACCAAUUGAUGUUUUAUAAUUCAAUACCACACAAGGGGAGGGGGAUGAUUUGUGUGGUGACCAAUUUUUUGCUUAAACAGAUAUGAAAGGACUUGGUUCUUCUAUCUGUUCCAACUACUACUGUUGCAAAAAUAUAAAUAUAGAAAUUAAAGAACAAAAAGUAUUUUUACGUAAAAAAUACUCAGCUCAAAAGGUGAAAAAGCUACGACCUAUUACUCAAUAGGAUUUUUUCCAACACUUCACUAAAUUACUGAGCCAAAAUAACAUUUACAAAACUCUUUGUAAACCUAAGGAUUACCUCUAAUCCCAUCGCACCAACCAACCUCUAACUGUUGCGGCAACGUCAAGUUAACUCUAACUCGAAUACUCAAAGUACCUAUUACAAUUGCUCUACAUAAAGCUGAAAACUAUAAUAUGAAAUUACCUACUACAAUUGAACUAGAAAUAAAGAAAGACACAUAAAACUUUUUAUGAAGCUGGUUCUUCAAUCUGAUUCAUGUAGCUUUAGGUUUGCACACUUAAAUCACACACAAGCUGCUUGCAAAUUGCUAUUUUUCUCUCAAUUCACGUUUAACUUCUGCGUUUUUGUGCCACCUUUCCUACAAUAUAUAGAGUUAGUAGAUAAAGAAAUAACUAGAGUUCUGAUGCAACUCUUCCUUAGUGGAAGAGUUCUAGUUGAUUUCAAAGUCUAAUUCUUUCCAUAUCGUGGAUAGUGUUCUCUUUGAUUAAAGACUCCUUCUCUUUAUCAAUUAUGCAACAUUUUCGAUCAGGAGAUAUUAAAUACACCAAGUUAAGCUUAUCUUCUUUACGUGCAUCCCACAUACUUGAAUCUACCCGUUUUUAUGAACCUGAGGAAUGGACCUAGUUCAUGCCUGAUUUCCUUUGUCAGUAUUCAAAACUGAUCUUUACUUGGGCCAACACAAUGUUAAUCCCACUAUGCAUUGUACCACUUUUACUAUUAUGGAUGAUGAUGAAGGCCUUGAUAGUUUAAAUAUUUUUUCUAAAAAGAGCCUAACUCAAAGAAAUUUUCACCUUUAGGAUGGUGGCAUGAGAAUGGAAAGCAAUUUUCUGUUCUUUCUGCUAUGGCUCGUGACGUGCUGAAUGUGCCAAUUUCAACUGUUGCAUCAACGAGUGCAUUUACCCAAGCAAGACAACAACUUAGAGACACCUGUCACUCAUUAGGAAGUAAUGCUUUGGAAGUUCUAGUAUGUUACAGAGAUUGGAUUAGAUCGGAACGAAGAAAUCAAGGACGUGAAGAUGUUGAUAGCCCAGAAGACGAGGAACUUGGAGAUAUAUUAACACAUGGUAACAAGGACGUGAAGAUGUUGAUAGCCCAGAAGACGAGGAACUUGGAGAUAUAUUAAUACAUGGUAACUUAUAUGAAUUUAACACUCUAGAAGAAUGUCAAUCACUUCAUAUUAAUUAUGAAGAACUUACUAAUUUAAUGCAAAGCCUUUGAAUUUACUCUUUUUCGUUAAUUUACUUGUUGUUAAAUAUUAACUUUUCAAUUUGUAAGUUUGAAUUUUGAAAUAAAUGUAGCACUUGCAAUUUAUAAGUGCAAUUGUUUUUCCAACUUUAUUGUAUUCUUUAUAUUUUGACGUUAUGUUAAUAUAAAUUACAAUAGUUAUACAAAAUACAAAAAAAAAAAAAAAUACUAACCCAGUCCGGCCUCUUGAACAUGUAAUCCUUAAUAAAAAUAGCGUGGAAUAGCCAGUUUUUCGUACGAUAUUUACUUUUAUCUAAUAUUUUUAAUGCUCAACAAAAAUAAUCAUUACUUUAUUAAAAUUAAUAUAAAAAGAUAUUUUUACCCUUACUCCAUGAGAGCUGGAAUGGGCAAAGUAGUUCCGUUGAUUUUAACUUUCACAUAUUACUGGUGUUUCUCUCUAUUGGUUAAUGUUUCUUAAUCUCGUUAGUGGUUUUGUAUUACUCUAGAGAAGUAUUUCUCUUAGCAGAAUAAAUGUCUGCCUUCUUGGAUUUAUAAAUUUUUAUAAGUGUAAAUAUUAAGGAUACGGUGUUUUUAAUAUUUAUACUGUACACAUGAAAUUAAGUAUGUCAUAUACUUAAUAUUUAUAUUGUUCAUAUGAAGUUAAGGACAUGAUGUCCUAUAGUUAAACAACGAAAGGAGAAAAUACAGAACAUUUUGUCCUUAAUAUUUACACAACAUUCAUGAAGUUAAGGACAUUGUGUCUUUGAUAUUUACCAAUACUCAUAAAGUUAAGGGCACUAUGUCCUUAAGAUUUACAUUGCACACAUGAAGUUAAGGACAUCAUCUCCUUAACAUUUACAUUGUACAUAUGAAAUUAAGGACAUGAGGUCCUAAAGUUUAACAACAAAAGAUGCAAAUACAAGUUAAUAACUUUAUGUCUGUAACAUUUAUACUAUAUAUAUGAAGUUAAGGACGCCACAUCAUUAACGUUUACACUAUACAAAUGAAGUUAAGGACAUGUUGUCCUAAAGUUUAAUAACGGAAAGUGCAAAUACAGGUCACUUUCUCCUUAAUAUUUACACAACAUUUAUGAAGUUAAGGACACCAUGUCCUUAAUAUUUACAGUAUUCAUGAAGUUAAGAACACCAUGUACUUAAUAUUUACACAUCAUUCAUGAAGUUAAGGGCACCAUCUCCUUAAUAUUUACACAGCACCCAUGUCUAACACAGGGGUAUUUUCGUUCGACUGGGUAAAAGAUUACUAGGCACUGGCUAAAAAGCAAAUACAUUUAAAAUAGUGGCUAAAGAGUAAAGACAUCUGUAAAAUGACUAUCCAUACACUUCCCACUAUUCCUUACAGUUCAUUUUUUACCCGGAUCGAACCGGAUCCGUUAAGCCCGAUAAACCCUAACCGUCCCGAAUUGGAAUCCGACCGGUUUCAUCUUUUCCCAAUUCGGACCGGACCGACCCACUUGUUUAACACCCUUACUUGAAACUUAGAAAUUUUUCAAAGAGAACUUGGCACCAAGUACCAAUUUAGCUAACUAAUGGGCUAGAAUUAACCUGUUUUUUAUUUAUUAGUAUAAGGCAGCUAGUAAAUGUAUAUCACAAUAAUAGUGUGGAUAUCAAAAUUAACAUUGUGAAAUGCGAAUGUGCAUAAAUAUAAUUUGCAUCAAACCACAAGCUGGUAGCGUGAACCCUAAAGCUUGAUCAAGUCAUUGUAAUGUUUCUAUAGUUCCAUUUGUUUUUUUGUUUAGACGGUAUUAAUUAGGCAAAAUGAGAUUAGGCAAAGUGAGAUGUUAGUUGACAAGAUUUAUGUGUAAAAUGCCGCUAUUAGCCGCCUAACUUCCAAUAUUUUUAGCAAUUCAGAACCUAUAAAUAGGUCCCAAGAUCAUAACACUAAUCAUCUAUAAACACAUAUAUCCAAAUAAAAGAAAAAGCUUUGAAACAACAUUAGCUACUUCGUACAUAUUCUCAAUGGCCUCGAGAGUUUUGUUGAUUGCAUUAGCUGUUGUUGUUAUUGCCAUGGUUACUGCUCCAGCUUUGGCAACUGACCAUUGGAUGAAAAGAAUGGACAUUGGGCCUAACUCAAUCCCAAAAGUUAGCUUAUGAGGUGAGGAUUGCCCAAGCCAUAUAAGAAGACCAAGGACCUCAAAUACCUCCGAUGUGGGAAAACUCAACAUUGGGUUGGUGAUGAUCAAGGUUGGGUACUCAACUUUGACUACAAAGCUUGGGUUGCCACCAAAGAGUUCCACGUUGGAGAUACGCUCAGUAAGUUUUUAAAUGGAUUAAUUUCAUUCAUCUUCGUUCAAUUUUCAAUUUAUUACACUAAAGUUAUAAAACUACUUUUUGUAGCAAAAAAUAACUCAAUUAAUGGUCGUAAAAUGCUAAAUUCGGUCCCGGAAUCACAAGUAGGACAUCACUUAAAGAAAUACGAAACCUAAUUUCUGACCCAACUUAAUACCUGAUGUCCUUUACCAUAUGCACAUCAUGCAUUUUUGGAUUGAAUUUUAAGCUGGUUAAAUUAACUUUUAAAAUUUUUGUUGUAUUUUUUAUUAUUUGACAAUAUUAAUGAAUAUUUAAAAUAAGUUAAAAAUUGUUAAUUAAAACGAGCCAAAAUCAAUAUGCUUGGUAACCCCAACUUGGCGUAAAAACUAUUUAUGUUGAAAUGCCACUUUUUUAAGUCAAUUCAAAUGGACUUUUAGUUGAUGUUAAAUAUAUUUUUCAUGUACAAUAGCUCAUUUGGUUUACAACAGGGUUACUUUUUUUAUUUUCCCAAAUUUGAAUCAACGGACAACUUAGGAUUGGAUUAAUGAUUCCAUAUUAAUUUCCAUUGACAGAAGAUAAUACAUCAGUAUGAAGUAUUAUUAAUGUGGACAGAAUUCUGAGUGAAGACGCUGGAGUAGCUGCUAAUUAAAUACAGUGCAUAUUAUGGUCCACUAAUUUGUAGAGUUUAAGUUACGCGCCUCGACAAGAUAUUAGUUUUUAUACGGAGAAAUUCAAAAUAGUCAGAUUUAUAAUUGGUCGUUUAAAAAUAGCCCAAUUUUAAAAAUAAUUGAAAUUUAAUCACUUUUUAUAUAAAGAUAAAUUUGAGCAAAAAUAUUGUUCAAAAUCCGGAAAAUACUCCAGUAUACUAUGCUGGAGUUCCAACAUAAGUACUUGAACUUCGGCAUAUUAUACUGAAAUUCAAGGAUAAAUAUGCUGGAACUCCAGCAUAAUAUUAUGGAGUUCCAAUAUAAGUACACUAGAACUCCAGCAUAAAUAUGAUGGAGUUCCAGCAUAAGUACACUAGAACUUUAGCAUAAUAUACUGGAGUUCCAGGAAGUAUAUUGGUCGGUGCUCCAGUCUCUAGUAUAUUAUACUGGAGCCAGCAAAGUAUAUCGGUCCAGCAUAAUAUGCUGGAGUUCAUACACAAGUGCCUACAGUCUCCGGUAUAGUAUACAGGAGCCAGCAAAGUAUACCGGUCCAGCAUAAUAUGCUGGAGUUCAUACACAUGUGCACUGAACUCUAGUAUAUUAUGUUGGGCUGGUCUCUAUUGCAGCAAAAUAAUGGCUAUUUUUUAUUGACUUGGUAAACGCUGACUAUUUUUAAUUGACCAGUCCGAAAACUGGCUUUACCGUGCUAUUUUUACUUUUUUACACAUCAUGUUAAGUUGGCCUACCAUAACAUAUGAAAAUGUCAAUGUAAAAUUGAACUGAUGGUGUAAGAUUCAUUAUACUAUCAGUGUAUUCGACUUAAAUCCAUACUUAUGACUAAAAAGAGUACAAUGGGUAAGAAAUUGAACCAAUUUUUUUGUGAUGCAGUCUUCAAAUACAAGCAAGGAGCUCACAAUGUGUAUAGAGCAGAUCAGGGUGCCUUCCAAAACUGCACAACAUGUAGUUUUAUUACACCCUUAACUUCUCACAACACCAGGAAAAAAAUGGUACUUUUGUGGAGUAGGGAAACACUGUGCCAAAGGAAUGAAACUGGCUAUCAAAGUUUUGCUUGAAUUGGGAUCUCCUGCUACUGCACCUUCUCCAGGUGGCCUUGCUUCAUGAACUAAGGAUUAGUUCGUGUUUUUGGUCGAGGGGGCGAUUGACAUGAACCCUUAAUUUUUGUCUCCGGUUUAUGUUUCUUCAUUCGAAGGCUGAAUCCGCGUAUUGUCAAGUUUACAAAAGUCACAGGUAGUGGGAGAAAUAAAGCAGCAUUUGCUUGUUUUUUCUUUUCUUUCUGUAUGUUUGUGCGUUGGUUUAUAUUAUGCUGGUGUUUUUUGUUUCUUUUUUGACUCGGUUUUGUUUUGUUAGUACUCCUCUAUAAUUAAUUUUAUCACAUUUCAUUCAUCACCAGCAUUUAUGCCCCCAUGAUAAUACCAUGAUCAUACGGUCCCCUCCCCCUAGCUCCAAGUGGAUGAAGUUUGCCAUAAACUUGCUGCUGAAUUUGUAUAUCCUGCAAUUGCACAACCUAGUCCAUGUGGCCCUGCUUCAACUACCUUUGGCAUUCAUUGCUUCUUCACAAUUGGUUGAAGCAAUGGGUUGCGAUAUUAUUGGUCAUUGUUCAUAAAGAUAAAAAUAAUUCGAUGUACUAAGCUUCUUUAUAUGUAGAGUUCCAUGUUCUGAACAAUCUUUGCUUAAUUUAAGUGUAGUGGGCCUUUUUAAUUAAACCUCUUAGAGAAUAUUUGAUUAUGGUGUUAUCUUAGCUAGUUUAAGCACAUUCCGUUCUUUUUUAUCAUUACAUAUACCGGGAAACUCUGCCAUCAAGACUUAGGCAAAUAUAUCAUAUAGUUGCUGUUGCUUUCAAGAAACUCAUAACUAAAUCGCCCUCACACGGUCUGAUUUUUGAUCGACCAAACGACACCGUCCUGAGUUCCCCCCACUUAAUUUCAAUCCUAACCUUCCAUCUGAUUGCAUCAAACAGCUCAAAUUAUUUCGCUAUCCCCCUUUAAAAAUGUCCAAACCCCCUCAUUUAACCUAGUACAUUGUACUAUUUCUGUCUCAUCUCCCUCAUCAAACCCUAACGCCGCCUUGCCAAUCUCCGCCAUGUUUGUCGGCGGCGCUACCUCCAAUCAACCCCAAAUAAAAAUCACACAACCCUCACUCACCCCCGACUCCCAAGCCAUCACCAUAUUCCUUCAAAUCAACGCCAAACGAACCCAAUCUUAGAUCUGAAAAAGGCAGGAGAGAAAACAACAAAUCUUUCGAAUUUUUCUCAGUUUUGACAAGAUAUUAGGAGUCGAAUCUGGCCUCGCUCGUCUUUUCUUGACAAGAAUACAUGGUUGAGGCCAAUUUCGACUCAAAAUCAACACAUCUGCAUGCUUUCAAUCCAUGCUCGUUUGUAGUUUCCUUUAGGUACUCUCUUUCUUCUAUUUUUCCCGUUCUUUUAUUCUUUUUCUCAUCUUUAUCUCUUUCUAUCUCCUCUUUUCUUUUUUCUUUAUUAUGUUUUCGUUUUUAAUCAGUGUUGUUGCAUGAUUAAACUAAUAGAAAGUUUAGUUAUUUUUGUUUUGGUUCUUAUUAGUUCCUUUCCCCUUUCUGUUUUGGUUUCAUUCCAAUGGUCUCUGCUUUUUCUUUUGGACAAUUCCGGUUAGCCCAUUAGUUUUGUGAGCUUAGAUUUUGAUUGGAAUGUGGGCUGUGUCAACAGAGGAGCAAAGAGGAAAUUAGGCUGGGUGCAACCCGAUUUGGGGUUGUUGUUUGGGACAAUUUGACCCAUUUGGUUCCAAAGAUAAAUAAUAUAGGUUUUAAGGUUAGUCUAGAAAUUUUAGUUUAGGAAAUCUAUCAUAACUGACUUAGGAAACUUCCUGAAAGGUGAGUUUGCGACUGUAUAAAAAAUAAACUUUAUAUUCAGGAAUUCACUAGCAAAAAUGAGAAUUAUAAAACGAGUAAAGGUCAAAAAGUGAAAUCAUUUCUGUUGUCCUAGAGCUCCUCUAUAAAAGGCUUUUACUUCCUAAUCAGGUGAGAUUUUUUGGAGAAUAAAAAACACUGAAAAGCUUAGAAAAUGGCUGAGUCUCUUUCAAACUCCAAAAAUACUGAAAAUUACUGAACGAUUUACUUGGUUUCUGGUUCUUUGAUUCCCUUUGGUUAAUUAGAUUUUCUAGAAGUUCCAAAUCGUGCACCUGGAUUAAAAAUGGUUUGCGGUUGGUUUAAAAGUUUGGUUUGAGUUGUUGUUUGGCACUGGUCCAUUGCUGUUGAUUUACUGUUGCUGCUUCCUCCUAAUCUCAGGCUUUUAUUCUGGUUUAUUUUGUUGUAUUCAAGUACAUGUUUCUGGAUCCUACUUAUGUGAGGCUCGAUUUGAAGUAUGAAAUUGAAAUAUGGAGCUUUAAGCAUAGCAUCGACUCACCUGCUCAUAAUUUAGCUUUAUUUUCGGCAUUACAUUGUUCUGAGUUGUCUGAUGUAUUGCAUUUUAUCCGGGCUGCUGACAGUACUCUCUUAGGGGCUAUAUUUGGACUUUACUUAACAUGGAAUUCAAUUAUCUGUCAAGUAUCUUAUAGCUAGAUGUUGCUGUGAUAAUUGAACUCUUAUCAUUGUAUUUGAUCUUGGACUAUUAUGAUGGAAACUUGAUGAACAAUAUGCUUAGUCAGAUCAGUUGCUAAAUUCUAUGCGCAAUCAUGUUGAUAUUGUGUAAUUUGGACUGAAAAUUUGAACUCUGUCUAUCAUGUAAUUAAUUUGGAUUGUUGUAGUAUGGUUUAUUGUAGACAAGUAGUAUCUUAUCUUGGAAGUUAUUGACUGAAUUGUUUCCCAACUAGUAGUCAAUCUACAGUGAGUUUUCUAAUACUUUUGUUGUGCCUAUAGAUAUUAUACUUGGAAGUAAAUAUUUGUGUUUGUUUCUUUUCAAAGUUUGGUACUGGAUCAAACUGCAACUCUAAUAUUGUAAGUAUGUGGGUAGAAGUGAAUGGCGCAAUAUCUGAUUUUUGAAUGAAUCUCAUAGGGUGACAUUAAUUUGACUAGUAGCAUGUUUAGUAAGCCAUUUUUAAGUUUAGCAAGUAGUAUUGUAAUUUAGACCCUAUGGUCAUCUUGAAGGACAGUAUUGCUUUUAAAAUCGCUUACAUAGAUGUUCCUGCAGAGUGACUUUCGAAAUUUGUCUGAGAUUUUUUGUUGUGUGUAAAAUUGUUAGUUGGGCAUUGCUUAUGCCUGAUUUCUUGAUUUACCAUUGCCCUUCCCAGGAGUUGAAUUCCAAGUGAUUUCGCUCGACUCAUUUUGAUUGGGCAGUAUCAUCGGCCCAGUUGUACCUAAUGUUUCCCCUUAUCGAUCACAUUCCCAAUUUGGGCCUCAUGUUGAGCCUAGCCGUGUCCAUGUGUUUCGUCAUGGAACCAAUAUGCAACGGUUGAGUUUGUGGCCAGCUUAGGCCCCAUUAAACAACCAAAUACCGGGUUUCACUUAUUGUUAGCCCAUUAGUCUUAAAUGGGUUCGAACAUUAGCCUAAAAUAAUUAUAAUUCCUUUAAGCCUUUCUUAAUUAAUUAGACUCUUUGAAUUAGUUGGAGGUGUGUCAUAUUAGCCAAGCGUACAAGUUAUGACCCUCAAAACCAAAUUUAAAAACUUUUUCGAUAGAAUAAUUCGAGACGUGCCAUGCUGAAUAAAAUUUUAAAACCUGUGGCCCUCAAUUAAUUAAUUUUAACUCUUUAGAAAUUGAGGUGUGCCAUUAGUUGAAUCUUCCAUGGCCCUCGCAAACCUUGUUAUUAACUUGAAAGCGAAUAGUUGCUUUAGCCGCGCUAUUUGAAAAAUUAAUUUCCUAAACUAGGGUGUGCAUUCCAUGUGACCUAACUCCAAUUCUCAAAAAUGUUAAAUGAAAUGUGUCGUGGACCGCAUGUGCAUUUCAUGUGACGUGGUUCAAGAUGUGUUUUUGAUAACGUUGAAAUUUUCUAAAAUUAAUUAAAAGCAAUGAACAAGUAAAAAUGUACCAUCGGCCAAAAUGUUUAAUUAAAAUCAGAUAAUAGGCCAAUUAUAAUAGUUUGAGUGACCAUGCUAGAACCACAAAACUCGAAAAUGCCUAACACCUUCUCCCCAGUUCGGAACUCCUUACUUAGAAUUUCUGGUUCGCAGACUUCAAAAGGAAAGUCAAAUUUCCUCUAUUAGGGAUUUAAAAUAAAAUGGUGACUUGGAACACCAUAAUUAUUCCAAGUGUCGACUCUAAAAUAAAUAAAUAAUUUCAUUUCGAAUAAUAUCAUUUUAAUUCGUAAAACUCCCUAUAUAUACUCUUGGGGUGUGUAAAAGGAGGUGUGACAGUUCUAGCGACUCUGCUGGGGAUCUAAACCCAGAACUUUGGUUCACGUUUUAAGAACUCGCACUUUGAAUAACAGUUAUAGUUAGCUAGUUUUAUCUGAUAUUUACAUGUUGAGCCUAAUGUGCUUAUUGCCGCUUUUUACCACUUUGAUAUUGCCUUAAUUGCAUAUAAAACUAUUACAAACCCCUCUUUUCUCUGAAUCUUCUAAAUCAUUUGGGAAGUGUGCACUUCGUGUGACUUCUUUUCUGUUAGAGUCAUAUCCUAAUUUUAGAACGAGGUUCAGACAAGUUGUAAAGUCGGUGAAGCUUCAGUAUUCCCGGUAUGCUACCCCCUCCCCUCAGCUCAAGCUGUCCGCUCGGGUAAGCCAGGUCUAGAUACACCCAGGGUUCUAAACCUAUUAUACAAAGUCUCAUGCCGGAUCCUUAGUAGGAACAUUUGUUUGCAUCACGUGCAUUUAACUUUGGAGACUCAGAAAAGGGGCUGGGUCCGUCUAGGACAGGUGUACCCAAAUUAAAAAGACCAUCCUGAUGCAUCUUACGUGUUGCUUGAGCAUCUGUUCGUUUCGACUUUAAUAUUGAUCGGGUUCUAGAACAGGGAAAGAAAAUUAAAAAAAAGAAAAAAAAAAACAAAGAUUGAGGUAGGUAUUUGAAAAUCUUGAAAUUCUUCCGAAAUUCGCAAAAUAGAAAGUCAUUUCAAAAUGAGCCAAAAUUUUCAAGUAUCAUAUUUUCAUGUUCUAUCAAAGUUGUCUGAAUUACGCGGGUCUGAUUCUAACCGAAUGUGAGAUACGCAGGCAAACUUUAUCGGUUCCGACCCUAAUUUUCAAAAAUCCAAAAAUAUUUUCCUUUAGUUCCUUCUUUAGAAAUCUUUCCUUAGAAAAGUUCGAAAAAAAAGAAGUUUUUUAAACUCAAAAAUAAUUUCCUUCUUUCUAAUGUCUUUCAUAAAAAAAAUCAAUAAAAAUCAAAAUUCAAAAACACGUGUUUCCUUCAUUUUGCAGUAUUUUUCCAAAAUUCAAAAAAAAAUCAGAAACAAAAAUCCAAAAAUAUUCUUUUUCUUCUUUAGAUGGUUUUCUUUUGUAAAUGUCCAUAAAAAUUUUGGAAAAUUAAAAGUCCAAAAAUAUUUUUUGUUUUUCCUUAGAAAUACUUUUGUAAAUAAAUAAAAAGCUCAGAAAUUCAAAACAUUUUUCUUAAAAGUUUCUCUUUCAAAGAAAAAACAAAUGAAAAUUCAAACAAAAAUAUUUUCUUUACUUUUAAAAUUCUCAAAGUUCAAAUCAAAGGGAAAGGAAUUCCUUUUGAAGUUUUUCGUUCAAAAAAAAAUAUUUUCCUUCUUCUUUAGAAGCCUUUCUUUCAAAAAAGUUUCAAAAACAUCGAAAUAAAAAAAAAAUCAAAAAUGUUUUCUUCCUUCCUUUAUAGUCUUUCUUUCAAAAAUAAAACAAAAAUCCAAAUCAAAAAAUAAAAAAAUUACUUCCUUUCUUCUUUUGAAGCAUUUUCUUUCAAUAAUUCCAAAAAAAAAAAGUUAGUUUAUUUUUUCGAUUCUCGAUCUUCCGAACUACGCAAGAUCUAAUUUAUGCGGUAUCAUGAUACAUAGGCAAUCCCCAUCGGAUUCUAUCAUAGCCAUAAAAUUAAGUGAGUGAAAAAUAAACUGGAAAAAGUAGAGUGAAAAAAAAAGAGAAAAAAGAGCGAUAAAAAAAUAAAAGAUUGACAAAAAAAGUGCCAAAAAAUAAAAGAGCACCAAAAACAAAACAAAAAUCAAGAGUGAUUAGAGAGAAACAAAGAUGAAGAAAAAAGGUCUAUACUGAAAGGGUUAGUUAGGGCCGGGAUGAAACAUGCAACCGUUCAAACACGUGGUAGAAGCAUUUAACUGUUAGGUGCAUUGCAUCCUAACGUGUGAUUUCCUAUAUAUUAAAUGUCUCAAAACUAACAAGAUUGUUGGGUGUGCAAAUUAAGAUCUGUUUAGGUGGUUGGUUUUGUUGGUAUGCAGUGAUAACUGUGCAACCUUGCACGCGUCCACAAUAUUAUAUACAAAACCAAGCUUCAGCUCCCAAAAAUGUCAAUCAUUACCAAGCUCUAUAUAAUCCCCGAUCAAAUGUUCCCCAGUACAAUUCUUGCCCAAGAGCGCCUUUCAAAAGGAAUUAGUUCACCUGUAUUGGUGAAUCAUGCUCGGCUUGUUCCAAAAGCUAGUCAGGCAAGGUCUGCUGCAGCCAGUGGCCCCAAAUCAGCCAAAUCCCAAGUCCCCUCGCACUGAGCUGAUACUAGAUGUGCUGACCAUUCGGGGGCGGAGGGCAUGAUACAGAUGACUGUUGGACCCUGAAAAAGGUUGUGGAAAACCUCAUAGAACAAAAGUGAAUUAUGCUAAGGGACGAAGACGUUCCUAAUUUAACCAACAAUCAAUUAUCGGCUCACAACAACGGGUCGGUUAUUGGAAUGAUCUGUGAAGAUAGAGAGUUUGACCAAGCUUUAAAGGACAUCACUGCCAUAGCCGAUGUGGAAAAGAAACCAAGGAUUGUUGCAAAACAAGGCAAGGGGGAGAAGAAGAGAUAACCCACCCCUCAUAAUACAGAAAAGAAAGAGGAAACCAAAGAUGGGGCAGCGCCUCAAAAGAUGACGUUCUCUAUGUUUCCCGGGGCCACAAGAAAGAAUAAAUAUCAUCGAGCCCUCCAAGAAGUUUUGAGCGAAACAAAUUAUCUAAAAUGUAUGUGCCUAAAGGGACCUACGUGGUGCGUGGGCCAGUAACUCCACCAAGGCUGAAUGAGCCCGUGGUUAUUAGUCGUGCAGUGUACAGGCCCAUGGCAGACUAUGGAAUUACUAUAAGGCGGUAGUAACUUACAGGGGUAAAGAGAUCCUAGGAGAAGCAAAGGAAAGUAGCCGGGCUGAGAAAUACCUUAAUAUGGAGGAACUGAAUAAUUCCACGAAGAAGCAUUUCCCACUCAAGAAGCCAGUGAGUGCUGAAGAAGCAGAAGAGUUCGUCCAAUAAAUGAAAAUGGCAGACAACGAGAUAAUUUACCAACUUCGGAUGUCCCCUGCUCAGGUCUCUUUGUUGUCCCAGCUAAUGGAUUCAAAUGAACAUCAGAAAGUAUUGGUCAAAACCCUCAAUGAAGUGUAUGUACCCAUUGAAACCACUAUGGAAUAGUUGGACAGGAUGGCAGAAAGGUUUUUUGCAGCCAAUCAAAUCUCUUUCAGCAAGAAUGAUUUGUCCCCGGAAGGGGCCACCCACAACAAAGCCUUUCACCUGACAGUUAAAUACGAGGGAUAUUAUGUGAAAAGGGUCAUGCUGGAUGGUGGUUCCAGAGUAGAUAUUUUCCUUCUCUCAACUCUGCAAAGAAUGGAGAUCACUGAGAGAAUCAGGCCCUACAACAUCUGUGUGCGUGUCUUUGAUAGCGUCAAGAGAGAUACCAUUGGUGAAAUUGAUUAUACUCUGACUAUUGGUUCGGUGGAUUUUGAGGUGAUCUUUCAGGUCUUAGACAUGGAUACUUCCUAUAAUUUCCUCUUAGGAAGACCUUGGAUUCACGUAGCAGGGGUUGUACCUUCUACUCUCCACCAGAUGGUGAAAUUUGAACAUGAAAAUCAGGAGAUUGUAGUCCAUAGGGAGGACGAACAGUCGAUUUACCAGGGCCCAUCAGUCACAUGUCUCAAAGCCAGAGAAUGUAGUGAGCAUAUAGCUUAUCAAGCUUUUGAAGUGGUGGCCGCGAGACCAAUAUGAGGGAGGGAAACCCUUGUCCUCAACCUUUUCUGCCAAAUGCAUCCAUCAUGGUCGUUGUUGAAAUGAUCAAACGUUGUUAUGAGCCUGGUAAGGGACUCGAGGCAUCACUGCACCAAGAAGUUCUUUGAUGUAGGCUUUCGCACCACAAAAGCUGAUGUGACAUAGGCAAUAGAUGAAAGAGCGGUGGUUAGGUGUUACCUUAACCACUUCUGCAUCUCUAUAGAACAUUCGUCAGGCCCAAGUACAACGAGGAAGAAGAAAAUGAGGCCUUCACGGCCGAGGAAAUUGAAGAAAUCUGUAGUUUAUGAGGCAAAUGUUGUACGAAACCCUUAUUGUUUAGCCGGGAGAAGGCUCAAGCACCGCUAAGGUGCUAUACAUGGGACCUAAUGCCAAGUUACAAAAUUGAAAGGCUACUCUUUUUCCAAUCAGGCGAGAAUUCCGGUAGUCUAAUCCAACCACUUUUUUUGCAUUAGGAGUUAUAUAAGGGUGCAACUCGAAUGUUUUCUUUUAGUUUCCUAUCUUUAAUUCCAAUGUAAACCCUGUUAUCUACAAAAAUUCAAUGAAAUGAAAUCAAUAUUUCAUCGUUCAUAUCUCUUUACUCUUUCUGAUUUUUGUUUCUUUUUCUUAUUUCUUCUUUCAGUUGUAAUAAUACGGCUUUAAAUAACAUGACAUGCUUGCGGACAUCAUGCCAUGAUCGAAAAACAUUGUCUAAUUGUGAAAUAAUGAACCAAGAACCGGAAUAUGAUGAAGAAGAGGAUUUUAAGGAAAUAAAUCAAGAAUUAAAACAAUUUGAGAAUAAACCUAAGCCGAACUUAAGUGAUACUGAGCCGGUUAAUUUGGGUAGUUCUGAAGAAUUCAAAGAAACCAAGAUAAGCAUUCACACAUAUGAAAAGCCCCGGGACACAUUGAUCCAACUUUUGUUUGAAUUCGAAGAUGUGUUUGCUAGGUCAUACAAUGACAUGCCAGGACUAAGUGUUGAUUUGGUGGCUCACAAGUUUCCAACCUACCCUAAUCAUCCCCUUGUCCAGCAAAAGCAAAGAAAGUUCAAAACUGAUAUCAUUGACAAGAUUAAAGAAGAUGUCAAAACAAUUAAAAGCAGGGGUGAUCCGAGUGGUUCGAUACACGACACAGUUAGCAAAUGUAGUUCCAGUACCAAAAAAAGACAGGAAAACUCGAGUAUGUGUGGACUACAAAGAUCUGAAAAAAGCAAAUGCCAAGGAUAAUAUUCCUUUUCCAAAUAUCCAUAUCCUUGUUGAUAAUUGUGCCAAACAUAAGAUACACUAUUUCGUGGAUUAUUCUGUAGGAUAUCACCAGGUGUUGAUGGAUGAAGAAAAUGCGGAAAAGAUAGCUUUCACCAUACCUGGGGGCACCUACUGUUACAGGGUUAUGUCAUUUGGUCUAAAGAACCCUGGAGAAACCUAUAUGAGGGCAAUGACUGCCAUUUUUCAUGACAUGAUGCACCAAGAGAUAGAGGUGUAUAUGGAUGAUGUGAUCAUCAAAUCCAGGACCCAAGACGACCAUGUUCGGGACUUGAGAAAAUUAUUUAAGCGGCUGCGCAAAUAUGAUUUGAAACUAAAUCCGGCCAAAUGUGCAUUUGUGGUUCCGUCUGGCAAACUCUUUGAUAUAUAGUCAGUCGAAGGGGCAUCAAGUUAGACCCAACAAAGAUAAAGUAUAUUUGAGAUAUUUCCCCCUCCAAGAACUAAGAAAGAGGUUAUGAGCCUGGUGGGAAGGUUGAACUAUAUUAGCCGAUUCAUAGCUAAGUUGACUUCUACACGUGAACUGAUCUUCAAGCUGUUAAAGAAAGAUGCAGUAGUCAAAUGGACGAUGAGUAUCAAGAAGCCUUUGAUAAAAUCAAAGAAUACGUGUCAAACUCACCAGCCUUGGUCCCACCUAAACCGGGAGGCCUCUGUUUUUGUAUCUGGCGGUCUUGGAAAAUUCCUUUGGCUUUGUUCUUGGACACCACGAUGUGAUCAAAAAUAGAGAGCAGGCAAUCUACUAUCUGAGCAAGAAGUUUACCAGUUAUGAAGUCAAUUACACUUUGUUUGAAAGAACUUGUUGCGUCCUGACUUGGGUCACUCAGAAGCUUGGGCAUUACCUGUUGGCCUAUACCACUUACCUCAUCACUAGGUUGGAUCCUUUAAAGUACAUAUUUCAGAAGCCAAUGCCGACAGAGAUGUCAGCAAAAUCGCAGAUCCUGCUCACUGAAUUUGACAUAGUCUACGUCACCCGUAUGGGAAUGAAAGCCCAUCUUUAGCAGAUCACCUGGCUGAAAAUCCUGUUGACGAUAAAUACCAGCCUUUAAGCACCUACUUUCCGGAUGAAGAGGUAAAUUUAGUUGAGAUAACAUCAGAAGACACCAAUGCUUGGAAAAUGUUCUUUGAUGGAGCUGUGAACGCAAAACGUGUUGGAAUUGGGGCAAUCUUGAUCUCACCCACUAGUCAGCAUUAUCCAGCCACAGCCCGGCUUCGGUUUUUCUACACAAACAACACCGCCGAGUAUGAAGCCUAUAUUAUGGGUAUGAACAUGGCAAUCGACCAAGAUGUUGAAGAUUUUUUUAUCAUGGGAGAUUCAAAUCUGAUUACCCGACAAGCUAAAGGAGAAUGGGAGAUCCAGGAUGUCAAGCUUAUUCCCUAUAGGCAACAUGUAGAAGAUCUUAGCAAGCGGUUCAAGUCAGUAGAGUUUGGGUACAUUCCUUGUUUUCACAAUGAGUUAACUGUUGCACUCGCUACCUUAGCCUCGAUAUUGACAUACCCAAGCAAUGAUCACAUUGACCCGUUGGAAAUCCAAAUCUGAGAAAGGCACGGUUACUGUAACACGGUUGAGGCAGAACCGAAUGUUCGACAUGGUAUCAUGAUAUCAAAAGAUUUCUGAAAACUAAAGAAUAUCCCGAUCAAGCAGUAGAGACCAAAAUAUAACUAUUAGACAACUUGCAAGCAGUUUCUUCUUGAGCGGUAAGGUCUUAUACAAAAGGACUCUGGAUCUCAACUUAUUAAGAUGUGUUGACGUCGAAGAGGCCAGAAAAAUCAUGUAUGAAGUGCACGCAGGGGUGUGUGGACCCCUUAUGAAUAGGUAUUAUUAGGCAAAGAAAAUCCUCCGAGCAUGCUAUUAUUGGAUGACUAUGGAAAAGGAUUGCUUCAAUUUCGUCCGGAAAUAUCAUCAAUGUUAGGUGCACGGUGACUUGAUUCAUGCACCGCCUACAUAAUUGCAUCCCAUGUCAGCACCUUGGCCAUUUGUUGCAUGGGGCAUGGACGUCAUUGGUCCAAUCGAGCCAUAAGCUUCAAAUAGGCAUAGAUUUAUACUGAUCGCUAUUAACUACUUCACAAAGUGGGUGGAAGCAUUUACUCUCAAAUAUGUCACCAGGAAAGUUGUGGUAGACUUUGUGAAUUCUUAUCGCAUCUAUCAUUCGGUCUUCCUGCAACUACUAUUACAGAUAAUGCUGCAAACUUGAAUAGUCACUUGAUGAGGGAGGUAUUUGAGAAGUUUAAGAUCAUACAUCAAAAUUCUAUUCCUUAUCGGCCCAAAGCAAAUAGCAUUGUCGAAGCAGCAAACAAAAACAUCAAGAAGAUUCUGAGAAAGAUGAUCCAAAGUUCUAGGAAAGGGCAUGAAAAGUUGCCAUUUGCAUUGUUGGGAUAUCGCACUACUCUGCGCACAUCAGUCGGAGCAACCCCGUAUCUUUUGGUUUAUGGCACUGAAGGCGUAAUACCCCCAGAAGUUGAAAUCCCUUCUCCCCGGAUCAUUGUUGAAGCUGAAAUUGAAGACAGUGAGUGGGUCAAAAUCUGUCUGAAACAGUUACCCCUGUUCAAUGAAAAGCGAAUGGUUGUAGUCUGCCGCAGGCAGUUGUAUCAACAAAUAAUGGCCCGCGCCUACCACAAGAUAGUGCGGCCUAAAAACUUUGAAGUGGGGCAACUCGUUUUAAGUCGUAUUCUACCCUAUCAUCAAGAAGCAAAAGGAAAGUUUGCUCCUAAUUGGAAAGGGCUAUGCAUUAUCAGAAAAUUGUUGCCAAAAUAGGCGUUAUACCUGGGAGAUGUCGAAGGGAAUGACCCCCAAACAGCUGUAAAUGCAGACGCAGUCAAAAGAUACUAUGUCGAAUCCUUCCGCAGCAACAGUAUUACCCAAUUGGGAUGACGAAAGAUUUCAUUCUCGCUACCCCAAACACUCCAACCCUUUGUUAACCCUUUGAACCGGUUAUCUUUCUUUUCAUUACCCUCUUUGGAACUUGAAGACGAAUGUUUUAAAAAAAAAGAAAAAGAAAAAGAAAAAAACAAAACAACAAGAACAAGAUGUUCCUUGAACUACGUUCGACUUGAUUCCGAAAAGAUAUGUAGGCAGCCUCUCUUUAGGGUUCACACACCAAAACAAAAAUCCAAUUUCCCCCAAUGAAAUUGGGACAUAUAUUAUAAUGGUUCAGCGAUGAUUCCGCUUGAACGGUUCCAAAGUUGUAAUUUAAUCCAAAUUCUUUUUACCUAAUCCUUGUUCAAGUACUUCCAAUCAAUCAUUGAAAGGUGUUCAAAAUCAAGAAACAUAGUUACUUGGAUUCGUUGAAAUCAAAAUAAGAGAAAUAAAAUAAGAGAGUCUUAUUGGUGAAGACCUUCGGGCAUCGUAACGCGAUAGUGAGUAGAGAAACUGAAAAAUGAAAGAGCCUUGUUAGUGAAAACAAGUAAGGAGCACUAUAAGGCGAUAGUGAGAAGAUAAAUGAGAGAGGCCGAUUGGCGAAAACCCGCAAAGGGCGCAGUUGAUAAAAAAGAAGAAACCCCUCAUCACCAUUGGCACUGAAAGAGUCUUCGCAAUGUUUCUUGGUUUUAAAACAUGGGUCACAAUGGGUUCAUGAGAAGUUGGAUAGUUUUGCAUAUCAGGCAUCCAGUCCAAGAAGCAUGUCAUGUCUAUUGAGGUCUGCUCUCCAAAUAAGUCCUUCUUUCCUCCCCGAAAGGGACGCUUCUCCAUAAAUUCACUUUCUUGUCCUUUGUUUACUUUAUUUUUGAAUCCUUUCAGUCUAACUCUGUUCCGAAACUAAUACAACGAAAAUGUGGCAAGAUUGGUUUAACAGGGUUCUGUUUUAAUAAAAGCCAAAGUCCAAAAAAAAGUACCCGGCCUCAGCGGGUGCAUCAAGUUGAUCUCGACUGGGCUUGAUGACCGAUGCUCCAAAAUCAAAGUUAUUGAAAAUAAAAGAAAUCAAAAGUCAAGUGCCCAUAGAUGCAGAAUAGAAUAAAAGGGCCAAAGCCCCUUAUGGGGUGAACUGUUAUGAGAAAUUUUGGAAAAGUUGAGUUCCUUGGUUUUAGAAGAAAGAUCAAUCUUCAGAAAGCCAGCAAGCAACAGAGGUUCUCACUAAAAGAGUUGGGCCGAGAUCAAGUGAUCAAAAACAAUCAAGGCCACAAAACCAACCACCGUUUCAAACUAACAAUUGUUUUUUUUUAAACAGAUGCAAUCCAAAACAACCGUGCAAGAAGCAUGUGCAACCAAAAAGAAAAGAAAUGUGCAAGUGCUGGAAACAGCUUUGCAACAAUAAUCCAUAAAAAGAGAAGUCUCGUCCAAAUUAUUUCCCGCAUUUACGCAUUACAUGAAAUAAAAAAUAAAGAAGAGAAAGGAAAACAAAAUGAAAAUAAAAAAGAUGAGAAAAAUAUGGUAGCAUAGGGUCCCCAAUCUCAAUCUUUUACACCUUUUGCCAACAUAGGGUCUCCGACUCCUAAUUGAUUAGACAUAUGGUCUCCACCUCCUAGUCAUCUUUUGCCAACAUAGGGUCUCCAACCUAUCGUUGAGAUUUUAGACAUAGGUCUCCACCCCCUAGUCGCCUUUUGCCAACAUAUGGACUCCAACCCUUAGUUGAGAUUUUAGACAUAUGGUCUCCACCCCCUAGUCGUCUUUUGUUAACACAGGGUCUCCAGCCCCUAAUUGAGAUUUUAGACAUAGGGUCUCCACCCCCUAGUCGCCUUUUGCCAACAUAGGGUCUCCAAAGCCUAGUCAAGAUUUGUUAGAUAUAGGGUCUCCAUCCCUUAGUCGCCUUUUGCCAACAUAGGAUCUCCAACCCCUAGUUGAGAUUUUGGACAUAGGGUCUAAACCCCCUAGUCACCAUUUGCCAACAUAGGGUCUUCAACCCCUAGUUGAGAUUUUAGACAUAGGGUCUCCACCCCCUCGUCGCCUUUUUCCAUAAUAGGGUCUCCAACCCCUAGUGGAGAUUUUUCUAGACAUAGGUUCUCCAUCCCCUAGUCACCUUUUGCCAACAUAGGGUCUCCAACCCCUAGUUGAGAUUUUUUAGACAUAGGAUCUCCAUCCCCUUGUCACCUUUUGCCAACAUAGGGUCUCCAACCCCUAGUUGAGAUUUUAGACAUAGACUCUCCACCCUGUAGUCGCCUUUUGCCAACAUAGGGUCUCCACUUCCUAGUUGAGAUUACUUUAGAUAUAGGAUCUCCAUCCCCUAGUCGCCUUUUAUUAACAUAGGGUCUCCAACUCCUAGUUGAGAUUUUAGAUAUUGGGUCUCCACGCCAUAGUCGCCUUUUGCCAACAUAGGUCCUCCAACCCUUAGUUGAGAUUUUAAACAUAGAGUCUCCACUCCCUAGUCUCAUUUUGCUAACAUAGGGUCUGCAACCCCUAGUUGAGAUUUUUUGACAUAAGGUCUCCAUUCUCCAUCCCCUAGUCGCAUUUUGCCAACAUAGGGUCUUCAACCCCUAGUUGAGAUUUUAGACAUGGGGUUUCCAUCCCCUAGUCACUUUUUGUCAACAUAGAGUCUCCAACCCCUAGUUGAGAUUUUUAGACAUAGGUCCAUCCCGUAGUCGCCUUUUGCCAACAUAGGGUCUCCAAUCCUUUGUUGAGAUUUUUUAGACAUAGGGUCUCCACCCCCUAGUCGCUUUUUGCGAACAUAGGGUCUCCAAACCCUUGUUGAUAUUUUAGACAUAGGGUCUCCGCCCCCUAGUCACCUUUUCCAACAUAGGGUCUCCAACCCCUAGUUGAAAUUUUGGACAUAGGGUCUCCACCCCAUAUUCGCCUUUUCCAACACAGGGUCUCCGAGCCCUAGUUGAGAUUUUAGACAUAGGGGCUCCACCCCAUAGUCGCCUUUUGCCAACAUAGGGUCUCCACUCCCUAGUUGAGAUUAUUCUAGACAUAGGGUUUCCACCCCCUAGUCGCCUUUUGUCAACACAGGGUCUCCAAUCCCUAGUUGAAAUUUUAGACAUAGGGUCUCCACCCCAUAUUCGCCUUUUCCAACACAGGGUCUCCAUUCCCUAGUUAAGUUUUAUUGAUAUAGGGCUCCACUCCCUAAUCUCUUUCUCCUAAAGACACAAUCCUUAUUUUAUCACAUUCAAAAAAAAUAAAUAGUUUAGACUUUAACUACAAAUAACUCCCGAAAUUUUCCUAGUGAAAACUGGUGCAGAAAAUUUCGUUUGUUUGGUUUUUGGUGUCUGAGCAGGUUUUACCUCGAGGCACAUGGUUCGAGACAACCAAAUGAAUGAGUCUCAAUCCAGAACAAAGAAAAGAAGAAAAGAACAAUAAAGAAGUGAACUCAAGGGGUGGAAGCGGAUAAAGAUGCGGAUUGCUCAAGAUAUGAUUGAAGUCACAAGUUGUGCAUGUCUUGCCUUGAUCCGAAAAGCUGAAGAAGAAGGAACCAGCACCUUCAGCUGAUGAGCAUCAAGAUUCAUAUCGGAGUCUGUAGCAAGAACCAGCCAAGAUUCAAGAUCAAGUUUCAAGAAAUUUAUAAAUAAAAAUCUUGUAACUCGUAGUUGAUAGGCUUAGCUAGUUUAGCUUUUUAUUUUUCCAUUUUGGUGUAAGAAGGAGUUCAGCAAGUAGUAGCAGCAGGAGCAACAGUAAAAUUACAGCUUCCUGGUAAUCGCAACUACUGAAACUUCCAGAAGUACACUAACCAUAUUCCUUUAUAACUAAUAAUAUGUAGGCAACCUCUGAAGCAAGGUUCGGCCAGGCUUUUUCAAAAUGCUUCUCAUGGAGUUUCAAACGGGAAAAAAUCCCUCAUAAAUGCUCAUUUUAUCUUUGUCUGAAAACUCUUCAUAUCUCCGAGCAAAGUGGGGCAGCUGUGAGCACGUGAUCUUUGCUCCACAUGAAUUACUCUUAUAGAAUUCCAAAGAAUUAGAUUUUUUCUUUUAAUUGUUUGAUAUUUUAGGAAUUAUUGUAAAAUUCUCCUAAUUAUUUGCAUUUUUUCUGUGCAUAUUUAAUUUUAUUUAAUUCAUAAAAAAUAUAAAAAUACAUCACAUUUGCAUUUAUGAUUUAAUUUAUAUUUAAGAUUAAUUAGUAAAUUAGUUAUUUUAUAAAAUAGAAAAAGUCAUUAAAAAAUAACUCAUCUUUUCGGAUUUUUAACUUUCAAUUUUAAAUUUCAUAGUUUUUCUUUUAAUUUGGGAAUUAAUAAUUUUUAACAUGCAACGGCUCAAAUUAUUCCCACAUCCCCCUUUAAAAAUGUCUGAACCCCCUCAUUUAACCUAGUACGUUGUACUACUUCUUUCUUUCAUCUCCCUCAUCAAACCCUAACGUCGCCUUUCGAAUCUCUGUCAUGUUUGCCAGCGGCGCCACCUCCACUCAACCUCAAAUAAACACCACACAACCCUCACUCACCCCUGACUCCCAAGCCAUCACCAUAUUCCUUCAAAUCAACACCAAACGAAGCCAAUCUUAGAUCUGAAAAAGGCAGAAAAGAAAACAAAAACUCUUUCGAAUUUUUCUCAAUUUUGACAAGAGAUUAGGAGUCAAAGCUGGCCUCGCUCGCCUGUUCUUGACAAGAAUACAUGAUUGAGGCCAAUUUCGGCUCAAAAUCAAUACAUCUGCGUGCUUUCAAUCCAUGCUCGUUUGCAGUUUCCUUUAUGUACUCUCUUUUUUCUAUUUUUCCUGUUCUUUUAUUCUUCUUCUCAUCUUUAUCUCUUUUUGUCUCCUAUUUUCUAUUUUCUUUAUUAUGUUUUCGUUUUUAAGCAGUGUUGUUGCAUGAUUAGACUAAUAGCAAGUUUAGUUAUUUUUGUUUUGGUUCUUAUUAGUUCCUUUCCCCUUUUUGUUUUGGUUUCAUUCCAAGGGUUUCGGAUUUUUCUUUAGGGAAACUCUGCUUAGCCCAUUAAUUUUGUGAGCUUGGAUUUCAAUUGGAAUGUGGGUUCUAUCAACAGAGGCCCAAAGAGGAAAUUAGGUUGUUUGCAAACCCGAUAUGCAGUUGUUGGUUGGGCCAAUUUGACCCAUCUGGUUCCAAGGGUAAAUAACGGGGAUUUUAAGGGUAGUCUAGGAAUUUUAGUUUAGGGAAUCUCUCAUAAUUCACUGAGGAAACUUCCUAAUAAGUGGGUUUGGGACUUUUAAAAAACAUAUUUUAAAUUCAGGGAUUCACUAGCAAAAAUGAGAACUAAAAAAGGAGUAAACGGCAAAAACUGAAAUCAUUUAUGGUACCCUAGAGCUCCUCUAUAAAAGGAAUUUCCUUCCUAACCAAGUGAGAUUUUUUGGAAAAUAAAAAACACUAAAAAGCUUAGAAAAUGGUUGAGUCUAUUUCAAACUCCAAAAAUACUAAAGAUUCUUGAACAAUUUGCUUGGUUUCUGGUUCUUUGAUUCCCUUUGGUUAGUUAGAGUUUCUAAAAGUUCCAAAUUGUGCACCUGGGUCGAAAAUGGUUUGAGUUGGUUUAAAAGUUUGGUUUGAGUUGGUUUAAAAGUUUGGUUUGAGUUGUUGUUCGGCACUAUUCCAUUACUGUUGAUUUACUAUUGUUGCUUCCUUCUAAUCUCAUGCUUUUAUUCUGGUUUAUUUUGUUGUAUUCAGGUACAUGUUUCUGGAUCCUACUUAAUGUGAGGCUCGAUUUGAAGUAUGAAAUUGAAAUAUGGAGCUUUAAGCAUAGCAUCGACUCACUUGCUCAUAAUUUAGUUUUAUUUUCUGCAUUACGUUGUUCUGAAUUGUCUGAUGCAUUGUAUUUUGUCCAGGCUACUGACUGUACUCUCUUAGGGGCUGUAUUUGGUCUUUACUUAAUGUGUAAUUCAAGUUUCUAUCAAGUAUCUUAUAGCUAGAUGUUGGUUUUGACAACUGAACUUUUAUCAUUAUGUUUGAUCUUGGACUAUUAUGAUAGAAACUUGAUGAACAAUAUGCUCAGUAAGAUCAGUAGCUAAUUCUAAACUCAAUCAUGUUGAGAUGGUGUAAGUUUGACUGAAUUUGAACUCUCUCUUCCAUGUAAUUAAUUUGGAUUGUUGUAGCGUUGUUUUUUGUAGACAAGUAGUAUCUUAUCUCAGAAGUUGUUGACUGAAUUGUUUCACAACUAGUAGUCAAUCUACAAUGAGUUUUCUUAUAGUUUUGGUGUGCCUAAUAUAUAAUGUACUUGGAAGUAAAUAUUUGGGUUUGUUUCUUUUCAAAGUUUGGUGCUGGAUGAAACUGCAACUUUAAUAUUGUAAGUACGUGGGUAGAAGUGAAUGGCACAAUGUCUGAUCUUUGAAUGAAUCUCAGAGGGUGG